UGGCAGUGUAAGGGGUGUUCCGUUGCAGUAGCUAGUAGCAUCACCAUCAUUACAUGAUUCUUCAGCUGAUUGCCAGGAUGAGGAGUUUGUGGAAGAGGAAGUUUCUGUUGCACCCCUAGAUAAAUGCAGAAUUUAAGCGCAUUACCACCAUGCCCCUGCAAUCCAGAUUUCUGUCACAGCUGGAU
This is a long non-coding RNA of Gadus morhua (Atlantic cod), 185 nucleotides long. RefSeq lists it as uncharacterized. Lineage: Eukaryota; Metazoa; Chordata; Actinopteri; Gadiformes; Gadidae. The record is from RefSeq and is a predicted model, not a curated record. The transcript has 3 exons.